GAUGAACGCUGGCGGCGUGCCUAAUACAUGCAAGUCGAGCGAACGGACGAGAAGCUUGCUUCUCUGAUGUUAGCGGCGGACGGGUGAGUAACACGUGGAUAACCUACCUAUAAGACUGGGAUAACUUCGGGAAACCGGAGCUAAUACCGGAUAAUAUUUUGAACCGCAUGGUUCAAAAGUGAAAGACGGUCUUGCUGUCACUUAUAGAUGGAUCCGCGCUGCAUUAGCUAGUUGGUAAGGUAACGGCUUACCAAGGCAACGAUGCAUAGCCGACCUGAGAGGGUGAUCGGCCACACUGGAACUGAGACACGGUACAGACUCCUACGGGAGGCAGCAGUAGGGAAUCUUCCGCAAUGGGCGAAAGACUGACGGAGCAACGCAGCGUGAGUGAUGAAGGUAUUCGGAUCGUAAAACUCUGUUAUUAGGGAAGAACACAUGUGUAAGUAACUGUGCACAUCUUGACGGUACCUAAUCAGAAAGCCACGGCUAACUACGUG
This 497-nucleotide ribosomal RNA is filed under the name uncultured bacterium. RNAcentral's name for it is "partial 16S ribosomal RNA". It matches the Rfam family "Bacterial small subunit ribosomal RNA", at positions 28 to 507 of the family's 1533-position model. The record is from RNAcentral.